CUGCUGUUGUCGUCCUCUCCAACCACUGGAGUCAUUCAACAGUGUAGCGAUGUUGAAACCAUCCCCAACCUCCUUUGCAAGGACCUUAAGCUGUUUUGAGUUACUCUGCAAAAUUCCUGAGGAUACCAUCUGACAAACAAGGCAAAGAAAAUUGUCGAUCAGUGCAAUAGAAGUUCCAUGAUUCUACCAGCAGCAGUGUCAGCUGCCACCCCUGUACCUAAGAGAACACAGUUUACGAUGAUCAAAUGGAGGUUCC
Stylophora pistillata is the source of this 256-nucleotide long non-coding RNA. RefSeq lists it as uncharacterized. The record is from RefSeq and is a predicted model, not a curated record. NCBI's taxonomy places the organism in Eukaryota, Metazoa, Cnidaria, Anthozoa, Scleractinia, Pocilloporidae.